GAUGAAGAACGUAGCAAAAUGCGAUAAGUAAUGUGAAUUGCAGAAUUCAGUGAAUCAUCGAAUCUUUGAACGCACAUUGCGCCCCAUGGUAUUCCGAGGGGCAUGCCUGUUCGAGCGUCAUUAUAACCCCUCAAGCUCAGCUUGGUGUUGGGGCCUGCUGCACUGGCAGCCCUUAAAAUCAGUGGCGGCGCCAUCUGGCUCUAAGCGUAGUAAUUCUUCUCGCUAUGGAGUCCUGGUGGAUGCUUGCCAUCAACCCCCAAUUUUUCUAUGGUUGACCUCGGAUCAGGUAGGGAUACCCGCUGAACUUAAGCAUAUCAAUAAGCGGAGGA
RNAcentral lists this unclassified non-coding RNA (329 nucleotides) under soil metagenome. RNAcentral's name for it is "partial contains 5.8S ribosomal RNA, internal transcribed spacer 2, and large subunit ribosomal RNA". The stretch from base 1 to 120 matches the Rfam family "5.8S ribosomal RNA", at positions 35 to 154 of the family's 154-position model. The record is from RNAcentral.